GACGAACGCUGGCGGCGUGCCUAAUACAUGCAAGUCGAACGAGUGGCGGACGGGUGAGUAAUGUCUGGGAAACUGCCUGAUGGAGGGGGAUAACUACUGGAAACGGUAGCUAAUACCGCAUACCAUCAGAUGUGCCCAGGUGGGAUUAGCUAGUAGGUGGGGUGAUGGCUCAACUAGGCGACGAUCCCUGGCUGGUCUGAGGGGAUGACGCGCCACACUGGAACUGAGACACGGUCCAGACUCCUACGGGAGGCAGCAGUGGGGAAUAUUGCACAAUGGGAGCAAGCCUGAUGCAGCCAUGCCGCGUGUAUGAAGAAGGCCUUCGGGUUGUAAAGUACUUUCAGCGAGGAGGCGUUACUCGCAGAAGAAGCACCGGCUAACUCCGUGCCAGCAGCCGCGGUAAUUC
RNAcentral lists this ribosomal RNA (406 nucleotides) under uncultured bacterium. RNAcentral describes it as "partial 16S ribosomal RNA". It matches the Rfam family "Bacterial small subunit ribosomal RNA", at positions 28 to 526 of the family's 1533-position model. The record is from RNAcentral.